GCUUGCACCGCCGACGACCGGCGCACGGGUGCGUAACGCGUAUACAAUCUACCUUGUAGAGGGGGAUAGCCCAGAGAAAUUUGGAUUAAUACCCCAUAGUAUUAUAGAAUAGCAUUAUUUUAUAAUUAAACAUUUAUGGCUACAAGAUGAGUAUGCGUUCUAUUAGUUAGUAGGUAAGGUAACGGCUUACCUAGACUUCGAUAGAUAGGGGUCCUGAGAGGGAGAUCCCCCACACUGGUACUGAGACACGGACCAGACUCCUACGGGAGGCAGCAGUGAGGAAUAUUGGACAAUGGGCGAGAGCCUGAUCCAGCCAUGCCGCGUGCAGGAAGACGGCCCUAUGGGUUGUAAACUGCUUUUAUAGAGGAAGAAACACUCCUACGUGUAGGAGCUUGACGGUACUCUACGAAUAAGGAUCGGCCAACUCCGUGCCAGCAGCCGCGGUAAUACGGAGGAUCCAA
This 461-nucleotide ribosomal RNA is filed under the name uncultured bacterium. RNAcentral describes it as "bacterial SSU rRNA". It matches the Rfam family "Bacterial small subunit ribosomal RNA", at positions 78 to 537 of the family's 1533-position model. The record is from RNAcentral.